GCAUUCUCAAACUUUGUUGAAGCAAAUAUGCAAUUGGGAGAGGAAGUGUAUUUACCUGGUGAUCAAAAGCUAGAGCCUUGUUUUGACUUUGAAGUUGAACAGAUUGAUGAUAAGACGUUUUUCCAUACCUUAAACUAUUCUGGCAGGCCGCUCUCUAGUUCGAGAUUGUGGAGUAUAUGUUGCUUGCUUUGCAGAGUAUAUUAUUGAAGAUCUUCCAA
This is a non-coding RNA of Nicotiana tabacum (common tobacco), 218 nucleotides long. Lineage: Eukaryota; Viridiplantae; Streptophyta; Magnoliopsida; Solanales; Solanaceae. The record is from RefSeq and is a predicted model, not a curated record.